Molecule: ribosomal RNA, 387 nt
Filed under: uncultured bacterium
Lineage: Bacteria
Description: bacterial SSU rRNA
Rfam family: Bacterial small subunit ribosomal RNA
Source: RNAcentral
AUUGAACGCUGGCGGCAUGCUUUACACAUGCAAGUCGAACGGUAACAGGCCUUCGGGUGCUGACGAGUGGCGAACGGGUGAGUAAUGCAUCGGAACGUGCCCAAUCGUGGGGGAUAACGUAGCGAAAGUUACGCUAAUACCGCAUAAGCCCUGAGGGGGAAAGCAGGGGAUCGCAAGACCUUGCGCGAAUGGAACGGCCGAUGUCAGAUUAGCUAGUUGGUGGGGUAAAGGCCUACCAAGGCGACGAUCUGUAGCGGGUCUGAGAGGAUGAUCCGCCACACUGGGACUGAGACACGGCCCAGACUCCUACGGGAGGCAGCAGUGGGGAAUUUUGGACAAUGGGCGCAAGCCUGAUCCAGCCAUGCCGCGUGCGGGACGAAGGCCUUC